AAAGGGAGUGUGAGAAUUGCACUAUUCACCUUGUAGUGAUAUUUAUGGGCGGAAAAAAACCCUCUAAAUUCUCUGAUUUCAGCGCCUUAAAUGUGAAUAUGUUCUUGUUUUCUUUGCUCCUCAUGACAGUAAACCUAAUAUAUCUUUAGUGUGUGGAAAAAUACAAAACUUAAUUUUGGGUUUUGGAAAGCACGAUCAACAUUUUUUCACCAUCUUAUGACAUUUAAUGGAACAAACAACUGAUCUAUUAAUCGAGAAAAUAAUCGACAGAUUAAUCGAUGAUGAAAAAAAUGUGUUAGUUGCAGCCCUAAUGCGAACCCUGCGCACGCACUUCAAGGACACGCCCCCUCAUGACGUCGACCCCCACCUUGGCCUGAUGACUGGGUGGUUUUAAAAGAAAAAAUGGCGCGUACCUACCCGACCCUCCGGGGAAGAGGCCAGUGUCGACAUACUCGCGACCAUCGCAAGUUCAGUAUAAGUUGGAAUCACCGACUUCUCAGUGUUUCCGGACACGUCUGAACCACGUCUCACUCUCCCACCAGUCACGCCACCGGAAGCUGCUCAUCGCCGGAGUCGAGUCCGCUCGCUGUCUUCCGAGAGCCGGAGAGGCAGCAGUUUGGGCGGCUGCACGGAGGCGGGCGGGCGGCUGUACUCUACCUGUUCUCCGGAACGACCUGACUCGGCGGCAACGGAGCGGGGGCAGCCGUGAUGGACAGCAGCUGAUUAGGGGGAAGUCCAGAGCAGGUUUCGUUUGCUCCGAACGCCCCAAGGCUUUCUCAAGGAGGAAAACAUCUCGGGCCUGUACCGUGCAAACACGCCUCCCCCUCCUCCCCCCGAUUACUUAUUUAUUCCUUCGCUCUGGGUGAUGUGUUGACAGCCGAGGGCUGAACAGGGUAUUGUUGUUUAGAGCAGAUUCAGUGACGAACUGCUCUACGGUCCACUGGGCUUAAUUCUCACGCUGGAAAUCCGGCAAUGAAUUACAUUAAGGAGGGCAGAGGAAGAUGCAUACUUUCCUCUUCUGUGGUCAGUAAUAGGUUUGGUAAUAACAUCUACAUUUUCUCAGUCCUUAUAAGUAUAUUUGUGUCAGACACCCAGAGCACAUGCGGCACAAGGACAAAGUAGAUGACCUGUACUGAAUGGGAGGAUAUCUGAAAAAAAGACUCACGAGGAAGAAAAUGUAAAGAGGAACAUUUCACAUGGACACCACAGAUGACCGAAGUCAAGUCAGUUUUAUAGCCUGGUAUAAUAAAUCACACACUUGCUUCAAAGAGCGUAACAAACUGCCCGCCGUACAAAAACCCUCUUUCUUCAGAGCCUUGGUUCAAGUGAGGUAAAACUUGAACCAGGAAGAGAAGAGGAAGCAAUCUCAAAGAAAAGCAACGGAGGAAGGAUUCCUCUGCCAGGACCGCUUGACAUGAAAUAGAAGCCAAGUUUAAAGAAAGAAAAGAGAAAUGUUUUUUGAAAUAUUAGAUUAAUGAAUUAACAGUAGCAGAUUUAUUUUAUCCAAAUCUAUUUCUUGUUUUUGUGCGUCCACUGUCAAACCACAAGAUUGUAGCUUGUUAUAUCAUACUUUAACCAUUCCAAGUAAGAUAUAGAUCACAUAACAUAUAACAUUCAUGUUUAUUUAUGGUAAAAUAUGUGAUGCACAAUUACAGUGUAGACACACACACACACACUGGAUUCAGUUGGGAAGUACACCCCUUGGACUGAUUGAAAGCUUUUAAUGUGGAACAGAUGCCAGAAGUGUUGAGUUUGCAUUAACAGCAAACGACAGCAACAGCAAAAUUGUCGCAAUUAAUGGUAGCACACUUCAUGAGGCUUAUGAAUACAAAUAUAUAUUAUAGCAUAUUUGCAAAUUUUAACGGAGAUGGAGAUAAAGAUGAAGCGGUCUCCAGUAUAGGCAGAGUGAAGCCAGAAUAAGAUCAAUAAUAAGGUAAAGAAAAUAAUGAAUUUAAGAAUUAUUUGGCUCUGGUCGUCAUUAAAUAUGAAUAAAAACAAAAAAGUGAAAGUGACGAGGAAAACAGGAAAUGAUGCAAGUUAUUUAUGUAUUUCUCUACAUGUGGAAAGCAGAGACACUCCAGCUGUGGCACAGCACACGGUGGAGACAUAAUGUGAGGAAGGUUAAGAAUAGAACCCACGUAUAGUCCUGAAAUGUCAUCAUCUUACAAAUCCAACCACAAUAUUGAAGCUUCGUGCUCCCGUUGGCCCUCCCGACAUAUUUCACGUAUUGAUUUCCUAACCUCUUCCUCGGGUUAUAUACAUGGAAAUACCCAGAAAUCACUGUGAUCUGCUCCAGCUGAGACACUGGCUGCUGGUGCACAGAGCAAGAGCAAGCACACACUAUAUAUUUAUCAGUGUACUCGUGCUGGUAACUGUGUUUCAUAAGCACAGUUUAUCCAUUAUAAUAAAACACAAUUAGGGUUGUAAUGCACUGCAAACACUGGUAUGCUACUGACUGUUGGUACUGUUAAACAUCAUCCAGCCUGUAAACCUGUCAUUCAGAAUUUUCUUUACAAGUUACUACAUUUGCACAAUGAACCUUAAGAUGUUCAUUAUUUUUUACAGCCUUUUA
Molecule: long non-coding RNA, 2572 nt
Organism: Scophthalmus maximus (turbot)
Lineage: Eukaryota; Metazoa; Chordata; Actinopteri; Pleuronectiformes; Scophthalmidae
Source: Ensembl